GAUGAAGAACGUAGCGAAAUGCGAUAAGUAAUGUGAAUUGCAGAAUUCAGUGAAUCAUCGAAUCUUUGAACGCACCUUGCACCCUUUGGCAUUCUGAAGGGUAUGCUCGUUUGAGUGUCAUUGUACUCUCACACUCCCGAUCUCUGCAUUGGGAGCAGUGGACUUGGGUUUGCUGCUUCACCGUCGCUUACCUCAAAUAGGUUAGUGCAACUCUUGGUUGGACAUAGUACGGCGUGAUAAGUGUUCUUCGCCGGUGCCUCGCAAAGAGGGUGGCCGAUCGGGAUGUUGUGCUCCAAACCGUCUUCGGACAAUCUCUGACGACUUGACCUCAAAUCGAGUAAGACUACCCGCUGAACUUAAGCAUAUCAAUAAGCGGAGGA
RNAcentral lists this unclassified non-coding RNA (380 nucleotides) under soil metagenome. Its description in RNAcentral is "partial contains 5.8S ribosomal RNA, internal transcribed spacer 2, and large subunit ribosomal RNA". The stretch from base 1 to 120 matches the Rfam family "5.8S ribosomal RNA", at positions 35 to 154 of the family's 154-position model. The record is from RNAcentral.